Molecule: ribosomal RNA, 462 nt
Filed under: uncultured bacterium
Lineage: Bacteria
Description: partial 16S ribosomal RNA
Rfam family: Bacterial small subunit ribosomal RNA
Source: RNAcentral
GACGAACGCUGGCGGCGUGCUUAACACAUGCAAGUCGAGCGGUAAGGCCUUUCGGGGUACACGAGCGGCGAACGGGUGAGUAACACGUGGGUGAUCUGCCCUGCACUUCGGGAUAAGCCUGGGAAACUGGGUCUAAUACCUGAUAUGACCUCCUAUCGCAUGGUGGGUGGUGGAAAGAUUUAUCGGUGCAGGAUGGGCCCGCGGCCUAUCAGCUUGUUGGUGGGGUAAUGGCCUACCAAGGCGACGACGGGUAGCCGACCUGAGAGGGUGACCGGCCACACUGGGACUGAGACACGGCCCAGACUCCUACGGGAGGCAGCAGUGGGGAAUAUUGCACAAUGGGCGAAAGCCUGAUGCAGCGACGCCGCGUGAGGGAUGACGGCCUUCGGGUUGUAAACCUCUUUCAGCAGGGACGAAGCGCAAGUGACGGUACCUGCAGAAGAAGCACCGGCUAACUACGUG